CAGAAGUUACCUGCUCAGCAAAUUCUGCCUACCUGCAGAAGACUAUGAAAGCAUUGUUGGUAGAGGAGCAGUAAUUGCAAAGCGGAUGCAUUCCUCUGUCUGGCAUUUCAAGUAAGGUAAUGAGAAAUGAAUAAACUUUAUAUUGUAUGUAGAAUUGUAGAGUGU
Molecule: long non-coding RNA, 165 nt
Filed under: Struthio camelus australis
Lineage: Eukaryota; Metazoa; Chordata; Aves; Struthioniformes; Struthionidae
Description: lncRNA (ENSSCUG00000009134.1)
Source: RNAcentral